CCACCAACACCGCCACCGCCACCUCCUCCACCACCUCUGCCGCCGUCUAAAGUUUUCCAAAACCUGUUCAAGAAAAAUAGGAAAAGUAAACGUGUACAUUCCGAUCCUUCCACUGCAGCAACAGCAGCACCGCCUCCUCCACCUCCGCCGCCGCCUCCAAAUUCAAUUUUCAACAAUUUGUUCAAAACCGGCAGCAAAAGCAAACGAUUUCACAAAACAUCAUCAUCAACUCCUCCACCGCCUCCUCCUCCUCCGCCGCCACCUUCUUCAAUUCUCAACAAUUUGUUCAAACACGGAACCACAAGCAGGCGAUUCAAAUCAACUCCUCCACCUCCUCCUCCACCUCCACCGCAAGCACACGUGUCAUCAAGGCGGAGAAAAACUUCAACACAUUCUCAACCACCAAUGCAACAACCGGAACCUCCACGUCGACGUUCAUCAUAUUCCAGCAAACCUCCAUUGCCAACAAGACCAGUCACCAGUUACUAUGACGAUAACUUGAACAAUGGGUCACAAUCGCCGUUAAUACCAAUGCCGCCUCCGCCUCCUCCUCCGCUAUUCAAAAUGCGGGAGAUGAAGUUCGUUCCUUCCAGUGAUUUUUUCAGGAUACGGAGCGAGCACAGCUCUCGCUGCAGCUCGCCGGAAAUUGAAGAUGUUGACGUUGAUGAUGUGUCCGUCAGAUCGUCCUCGGAGGCAAUCGACGGUGAAGAUUUAACCGGGCCGUCGGUUAUUUGCCCGAGCCCGGAUGUUAACGCGAAAGCGGACUCUUUCAUUGCCCGGCUACG
This 785-nucleotide long non-coding RNA is filed under the name Nicotiana tabacum (common tobacco). RNAcentral's name for it is "long non-coding RNA (NTAB_LNC017329)". Lineage: Eukaryota; Viridiplantae; Streptophyta; Magnoliopsida; Solanales; Solanaceae. The record is from RNAcentral.